RNAcentral lists this ribosomal RNA (589 nucleotides) under uncultured bacterium. RNAcentral describes it as "bacterial SSU rRNA". It matches the Rfam family "Bacterial small subunit ribosomal RNA", at positions 338 to 943 of the family's 1533-position model. The record is from RNAcentral.
CCUACGGGAGGCAGCAGUGGGGAAUAUUGCACAAUGGGCGGAAGCCUGAUGCAGCGACGCCGCGUGAGGGAUAAAGGCCUUCGGGUUGUAAACCUCUUUCAGCAGGGACGAAGCGUGAGUGACGGUACCUGCAGAAGAAGCACCGGCUAACUACGUGCCAGCAGCCGCGGUAAUACGUAGGGUGCGAGCGUUGUCCGGAAUUACUGGGCGUAAAGAGUUCGUAGGCGGUUUGUCGCGUCGUUUGUGAAAACCCGGGGCUCAACUUCGGGCUUGCAGGCGAUACGGGCAGACUUGAGUGUUUCAGGGGAGACUGGAAUUCCUGGUGUAGCGGUGAAAUGCGCAGAUAUCAGGAGGAACACCGGUGGCGAAGGCGGGUCUCUGGGAAACAACUGACGCUGAGGAACGAAAGCGUGGGUAGCAAACAGGAUUAGAUACCCUGGUAGUCCACGCCGUAAACGGUGGGCGCUAGGUGUGGGUUCCUUCCACGGGAUCUGUGCCGUAGCUAACGCAUUAAGCGCCCGCCUGGGGAUCGGCCGCAAGGCUAAACUUAAGGAAUUGACGGCUGAGACNGCGAGCGACACGAGGAGAG